Molecule: transfer RNA, 74 nt
Rfam family: tRNA
About the family: Transfer RNA (tRNA) molecules are approximately 80 nucleotides in length. Their secondary structure includes four short double-helical elements and three loops (D, anti-codon, and T loops).
GUUUAGGUAGUUCAAUGGUAGAACGUCCGAUUGUGGUUCGGAAGAUUAGGGUUCGACUCCCCACCUUUACCCGA